This 497-nucleotide ribosomal RNA is filed under the name uncultured bacterium. RNAcentral's name for it is "partial 16S ribosomal RNA". It matches the Rfam family "Bacterial small subunit ribosomal RNA", at positions 36 to 507 of the family's 1533-position model. The record is from RNAcentral.
GCUGCCCUCUUUCUUCGUGCCUAAUACAUGCAAGUCGAGCGAACAGAUAAGGAGCUUGCUCCUUUGACGUUAGCGGCGGACGGGUGAGUAACACGUGGGUAACCUACCUAUAAGACUGGAAUAACUCCGGGAAACCGGGGCUAAUGCAGGAUAACAUGUUGAACCGCAUGGUUCUACAGUGAAAGGCGGCUUUGCUGUCACUAAUAGAUGGACCCGCGCCGUAUUAGCUAGUUGGUGAGGUAACGGCUCACCAAGGCAACGAUACGUAGCCGACCUGAGAGGGUGAUCAGCCACACUGGAACUAAGACACGGUCCAGACUCCUACGGGAGGCAGCAGUAGGGAAUCUUCCGCAAUGGGCGAAAGCCGGACGGAGCAACACCGCGUGAGUGAUGAAGGUCGUCGGGUCGUAAAACUCUGUUAUUAGGGAAGAAAAAAUGCAUAAGUAACUGUGCGCGUUUUGACGGUACCUAAUCAGAAAGCCACGGCUAACUACGUG